ACGGCCUUGGCGCGCGGCCAAUGCUUUCUCCCUACCGCGGGGUGUGCCCACCUGCGCGCGGCCAGCGGAGGCAUAGACAGCGUUGCCAGACCUCUUUUUGCACGCUAAAUGUUAGCGGAGUACUCGUUUUUGAGGGCAACAAUGCGGAUCUCUAUGGCAACGUAAGUGAGAACGCCUCGGGCGUGGCGUUCGUCUGCUCUCAUGGCCUCCGCAUUGCUCGCCGAGCAGGAAAUAUGUCCACUUGGGGCGAGCGAAGACGACGACGAUUUAGGGCAUCUACUGAUUGCGGAACAAGAUUUGUUUCGUGAGCAUCUGCCUCACUUGGGCACCACGACUUGCUUCUGUAAUUCUUCGACUAUGUUCUCUUAAUCUGAUGCCAGCAUACUUUUGCAGGAUCACUUUCGCCAGUGAAAUUAUGUGAUCAGGCUCCUCUGCAUAGUGCUGGCACAGUGGUAGCUUGUCACCGUGUGUUAGGAUGAAGUGAUUAAACGAUUUCAAAACGAUCACCCGCACUACAAGCUUCACAGACCUCAAUUUCUCGAGACGAAAGGUCUGCUGAGCGCAACACAGCAGACGUGUAACAAAGGAGGAUGGUUUAACCAGCCCUCCAUUGUCCCUGAGCAUGAUGAGAACACUUGAUGUCUCGUCAUCUAGGAGUGUGUCCAAACAACCAUUACAGGUGAGUUUUGAGGAGACAAUUCUAACAACAUAUCCUCCAAUAUAGGCAACAAUAUCCUCGCUGAACCUGCUGAGUCUGGAUGAUUCCCCGUAGUCAUGGUCAGCACACUGUAGAAGGGCACAGAUGUUGUCCUCUGCAGGAACUUCUGCAGUGGGAGUCUCCUCACCUGCACUUUCCUCCCUUCGCGGCUUGCCCUGGUGACCGAGUGUCUCUAUGCCUUCCACUGUAGGCGCGACAUUCGCAGAGCUUGGGGCCUGAACUUCAGCGUGUAUCAGAAGCUUCCUGUAGGCAUGACGGAAUUGGGAAGCUGAUGGGUUGUUAUUCCAUCCUCCUCUUUGCCUGAUGCAGCUGAAGAACAGUUCCAAGUGGUCCUGGCUGAGGCGACCUCUACAUGUUACCUGCAUGCGCCCGCCUGGAACAGCGCUUCUGCCAGCUGUGCAACACUUUUUAGCGUAAAGGCCACGCUGAUGACUGACAUGCGUCUCCCAUGCUGAGCAGCUAGCUCCCCGGAUGGAAGUCGCAGUGUCAUCAUUCUUGACGACAAUCUUUAGUGGCCACAGUCAUGAAAAUGAAAGGCCUACUCGUCUACGUCGGCAAUGAACGAAGCGGUUGCGUCACUUCCUUCAAAUUCGGUCAAUCCCAGGAGCCGUGCGUGGGUCAGGGCUUUGCUCACGGAUGAACUUAGAGUCUGCGCUGCAAGGCGGACCUUCAUGAUCUGGCGGCCAAACUCAAUAUGGGAUCUGGUGGUCUAAGACUUCCUGCGUGAAGCCAGGCCAAGCACCAAUAACCUUUGACCAUUCGCGGAGUGUGUCUACAGCUGGCAUUGGGAAUAGUUUUGAGACAUAUUUGUAGGCACGAGGUGAAUAAAAGUGGAGUGUCAUUGCAAAUCUCCUAGUUUCUGGGGAAUAUCUACGGCCUGGCUUUUUCUUUCUCACGUUCUUUGCCCAUUCCUUAAGUAUCUCUUGUGGCAGUUCCCCAAAGGACUCCAGCUUUGUUUGAGCCUCCUCUGCCAACAAGUUCUUUUCCUUCAGUUCAGCAAUGAGGCUUUUUAGAUUUUUAAUUUUCUUUUCUCUCCUUUUCAGGGUCAGUUGCAGCCGUCGACGGACACCACGCAGGUACUGGUUCUUCUCUCGAAGUUGUCUCAUUCCUGUUCUUGGCGUUGUUUUGCUGUGAUAGGUGUGCUCCUUGUGACCCUUGGGUGUGAUCGGGCUGCCCUCAGUAUCUGUGUUGCUCACAGACACCUGCAAAGUUGCCUGUUGGUUAAGGACAGCAUUCCCCAAUAUUUUGCAUUUUAAAAUUACCGGUUGUCGUGUAGGCGUGGUUUCAUUGCAUGUUUCCGGUUGUUGCUGCCCUGCUCUGGGGUCAGGGGACAAAACAUCUAGAGAAAUGUCCUCAAGUCGUUGUGUUUUGGGAUCUGGGCUUUCCUGCUGACACUCCUGAAAUGGUAGUAGGAACUGUCGCUGCUCACAGGAAUUGGAAUGCAUUGUUUCGCAGUGGGCUAUAGUCACAAAAGCAAUUUGUCUGUGUUUUCAUGUU
This is an RNA transcript of Ornithodoros turicata, 2215 nucleotides long. RefSeq lists it as uncharacterized. Lineage: Eukaryota; Metazoa; Arthropoda; Arachnida; Ixodida; Argasidae. The transcript is spliced from 5 exons. The record is from RefSeq and is a predicted model, not a curated record.